GACGAACGUUGGCGGCGUGCUUAAUACAUGCAAGUCCACUGAAGCAGUGGUAGCAAUAUCGCUGUGGAGGUGGCGCACGGGUGAGUAACACGUAGGUAAUCUGCCUUCAGGUCUGGCAUAACUCCGUGAAACCGGGGCUAAUAGCAGAUGAUGCAGCGGCUCGACAUCGAGACAGUUGUUAAAGCUAUGUCGCCUGAAGAUGAGCCUGCGUCUGAUUAGCUAGUUGGCGGGGUAACGGCCCACCAAGGCAACGAUCAGUAGCUGGUCUGAGAGGAUGAUCAGCAACACUGGAACUGAGACACGGUCCAGACUCCUACGGGAGGCAGCAGUAAGGAAUAUUGCUCAAUGGGAGAAAUCCUGAAGCAGCAACGCCGCGUGAGGGACGAAGGGCUUUGGCUUGUAAACCUCUGUAGUGAGAGAAAAAAAUCCCAAUCUUUGGGACAUGAUGGUAGCUCAAAAGUAAGCCCCGGCUAACUACGUG
RNAcentral lists this ribosomal RNA (481 nucleotides) under uncultured bacterium. Its description in RNAcentral is "partial 16S ribosomal RNA". It matches the Rfam family "Bacterial small subunit ribosomal RNA", at positions 28 to 507 of the family's 1533-position model. The record is from RNAcentral.